This 482-nucleotide ribosomal RNA is filed under the name Streptococcus gordonii. RNAcentral describes it as "bacterial SSU rRNA". It matches the Rfam family "Bacterial small subunit ribosomal RNA", at positions 28 to 485 of the family's 1533-position model. The record is from RNAcentral. Lineage: Bacteria; Bacillati; Bacillota; Bacilli; Lactobacillales; Streptococcaceae.
GACGAACGCUGGCGGCGUGCCUAAUACAUGCAAGUAGAACGCACAGUUUAUACCGUAGCUUGCUACACCAUAGACUGUGAGUUGCGAACGGGUGAGUAACGCGUAGGUAACCUGCCUGGUAGCGGGGGAUAACUACUGGAAACGAUAGCUAAUACCGCAUAAUAUUAAUUAUUGCAUGAUAAUUAAUUGAAAGGUGCAAUUGCACCACUACCAGAUGGACCUGCGUUGUAUUAGCUAGUAGGUGAGGUAACGGCUCACCUAGGCGACGAUACAUAGCCGACCUGAGAGGGUGAUCGGCCACACUGGGACUGAGACACGGCCCAGACUCCUACGGGAGGCAGCAGUAGGGAAUCUUCGGCAAUGGACGAAAGUCUGACCGAGCAACGCCGCGUGAGUGAAGAAGGUUUUCGGAUCGUAAAGCUCUGUUGUAAGAGAAGAACGGGUGUGAGAGUGGAAAGUUCACACUGUGACGGUAUCUACCA